Molecule: unclassified non-coding RNA, 695 nt
Filed under: Hevea brasiliensis (rubber tree)
Lineage: Eukaryota; Viridiplantae; Streptophyta; Magnoliopsida; Malpighiales; Euphorbiaceae
Source: RNAcentral
GGUCACAACUUUAGUUCUUGAGGUAAUAUAAUUCUUCCUGUUGCCAUGAUGUUCUCUAGAAUGAGGAUACCACCAUUAGAACUUAGCUUUUAACCACCUACUGACUACGCAAAGUGUGAGUUUUUAUAGAGGAGUAAAAGGUAAUAUACAUUGAGAUGGCCCAUUGCAUGCAAAGUAUCUGGAAUGUUCUGGUUGAGGGAAAAUCUUUGGAUGAUUGUUACGAGGCAUAUGGUUUUGAAACUGGGAAUUUGAGACUACGGGGUAUAAAAAUUGGCUUCAUGUCUAAAUAGUUGGUCGGGAAUAAGAAAUCAAACAGAAGAAAAUGGUACUAUUCAUUCACUAACUGGUUUAAGGAUGCACUCUUUUGGAUGAUAAUUAUAGUAAUUUUUAAUUGAGAGUUAAAAGAUACUAGAAAGCUCAAGUAGGUUCCCACUGUCAAACCUGCAGACAACUAAUCUUCACUUUACAAUGUAGUCCAAUCGAGAAUGCCUAAGUGAACACCAAAGAAAAUGAAAAAUAAUUUUCUGUUGACCUUAGUAGUGGAAAUGAAACAUGGCACAACACAAACUAAGACUGGUGUGAAUUCUGCAUGGACCUCUAGAUUAGUGCACGUCCAUACCAUGAACGGUAAACUAGCAAAAUCGCAAAUGAACUCCCUUUUGGACACUUCAGCAUCACUUACAUUAACUCUGCUU